Dama dama (fallow deer) is the source of this 1937-nucleotide RNA transcript. It is a transcript of the gene named EGF like domain multiple 7, with no coding region annotated. Lineage: Eukaryota; Metazoa; Chordata; Mammalia; Artiodactyla; Cervidae. The record is from RefSeq and is a predicted model, not a curated record. The transcript has 10 exons.
GGGCCCCCCACAGAGAAUGGGGGGGGGGGGCUCACAGGAAGGACCCUCAUGCAGCUCUAGGGCCGGGUGAAGGCCUGGACUGAGCGCCCAGCUGAAUCCCAGUGUGGAUACAGGUCUCGGCGAUGCUCGUGGUGGUCCCUGUCUAUGGGACUGACCGUCAGAGCCAGAGGAAACUGGGUCCCAGGGAGGGAGGCGACUGUACCCGGAGUCUGCUGCCCGCCUCCAGCACACGCACAGGCUCAGCUUCUUCCCAUGCCCUGUCCUUCAGGGGACCCUGGGGGGACCUCAGAUGGGGCUCCCGGAGCAGGGGAGCAGAGCGCUCCCUAGACCCUUGGCUGCACACAGCGACGGCAGCCCCGCUCCAGUCCCCUUGGCUUGUCACGCGUGGACCUUUAAUUCUGGGCCAGGCUUUCUCUCAUUCCCAGAAAUUGCUCUGUAGCCCCCCUGGCUCCCACCCACCGCCAGGACAGGGAUGUGAUCGGCUCCACCGGCAGGCCACCUCGAGGAGAAGGCCAUUCCACCCAGAAACUCGGGCCAUGUGGGGCUCCCAGGAGCUGCUUCCGCUCUGGUUCCUGGUGCUGGCAGCAGGCGGCACGGAGCACGUCUACCGGCCUGGACGCAGGGUGUGUGUCGUCGGGGCUCCCCAGGGCCCUGUGUCCGAGUCCUUUGUGCAGCGUGUAUACCAGCCCUUCCUCACCACCUGCGACGGGUACCGAGCCUGCAGCACCUACCGGUUUCGCUGGGUUUCUGCCAAGCCUGGGCGUCCUGCUCCACACAGCAGCUGGGGGCAGGGAGGCGGCUCCGGCGGUGACCCUGAGGUGCCCUCCCCAGGGGAGAGGCCCUCUGGGGACACAUCCGCUGACCUCGUCCAUGCUGGGGGAGACGGCUCAUGCAGCUCCCGAACCACACGGGGCCGGAGCCAGCCCAGAAGGACCCUCUACAGGACCGCCUACCGCCGCCGCCCCGGGCCGGCCCCCGCCCGGCCUCGCUAUGCCUGCUGCCCCGGCUGGAAGCGGACCGGCGGGCUGCCGGGGACCUGUGGGGCAGCAGUAUGCCAGCCACCAUGCCAGAACGGAGGGAGCUGUGUCCAGCCUGGCCGCUGCCACUGCCCCGCAGGAUGGCAGGGCGACGCCUGCCAGACCGAUGUGGACGAGUGCCGCACCGGAGGGGGCGGCUGUCCCCAGCGCUGUGUCAACACGGCGGGCAGUUACUGGUGCCGGUGUCGGGAGGGCCACCGGCCAUCUGUGGACGGGGCAGCGUGCCUGCCUGAGAGAGGGGCCCCCAGGGUGACCCCAGGCCCCGCGACAGGAGCAGACAGUGAGGUCAAGGAGGAAGUACAGAGGCUCCAGUCGAGGGUGGACGUGCUGGAGCAGAACGGACAGGGCGAGGGGCUGGCCCGGGGUCACACAGGUCUCCCCCCGACUCCCCGGGGCCUUGCCAACCCCGCAGAAGCUGCAGCUCGUGCUGGCCCCGCUGCACAGCCUGGCCUCGCGCGCCCUGGAGCACGGGCUCCCUGACCCGGGCAGCCUCCUGGCCCACUCCCUCCGGCAGCUGGACCGCAUCGACUCUCUGAGCGAGCAGAUCUCCUUCCUGGAGGAGCAGCUGGGCUCCUGUUCUUGCAAGAAGGAGGUGUGACAGGCCCACCAGCCCAGUCCUGGCUACCCGGAGAAACUCUCCUCACCCCUGCCCCGCCCUGCCCCACCUCUGCUGACCACGGUGGCCCCAGGGCCCACCGCCCCCCUCCCCCGGGGCGGGGCGGGGUGAGGGUCAUCCUGUAUGAAUCCAGCUCCAGCCAGCCAGCCCCCUGCACCGCGGCUGACUCUCGGGGCCUGUGGGCCCACGGCUGGGGACGGUACGAGGCACCCUGCCCAGGGUCUGGGGCCUGCGCCCCUCGCUGGGCAACCCUGUCCUUUGUGAGAAUAAAAUUUGAGACUUGA